This is a long non-coding RNA of Zonotrichia leucophrys gambelii, 1530 nucleotides long. RefSeq lists it as uncharacterized. The record is from RefSeq and is a predicted model, not a curated record. Lineage: Eukaryota; Metazoa; Chordata; Aves; Passeriformes; Passerellidae. The transcript is spliced from 3 exons.
GUUUGUUGGUUGUGCUGUGAGGAAGAAGGAGUCAGUGUGGUGAAGUGCUGUCCAUGAGGAAUCACUGAGCAGGGAUGGGAGCUUUGCAAUAAGAUGACAACAUCGCACUGCUACACAAACAGACAAGCAGCUCUUCCACUGCAGCCAGGCCAACAGAGUCAGACCUAGGCAAGGAUCCCAAAAUGAUCCUGGAAUCCCAAGGUCAUGCUGGGGGCUGCCAGCUCUCCUGGCAUGACAUUUCAAGGUCAAUAGUGCAUCCCUAGUGUUGGAGAGCAGCUUUUAACAAAAGUUCUAAAGGAAGAAAUGCUGCUACCCUUGCAGAACCUCUGCCUCUGCAGGCUUUACUUCACAGGCAAGUUCAGGUAUCUGGAGAGACCUUGGAGAAAUUCAGACAACAGGGUUCUCUACAAAUUCUGUGCUGCAGAAAGGGAUGCAAAGGACACAGAGAAGAAAUGACUACUAUCAGGUCUGUGAAUGGGCAGGAGAUGAGAAGAGACAGAACAAGAGCAGAAAUUAAAAACACAUGGUAUUUUAAAGAAGCUUUAAUCAUCUUUGUGGUUUUCAAGUUAUUUAUUCAGACAUAAUCAGCAUUGUACUUCCUCUGCUGCUCCAGAUUCCUUACAACUGUAAUCAGAUCAGCUACUUGAAAAGAAAUUUCAAACUGCGGAGGUGGAUCUAAUUAACUUCACUGUCGUGUGAUUAUUUUAGUUUUCACAAUACAGGAGUUUUUAAGCCCAUCCUGUAAUUAAGAUUUACUCAGCAGUUUUCUCACAAAUAUCUGUUCCCAUUCAGUUAAGUAAUAUGUUAGCAUGUGUUGAAAUAUUUUUUAAAUUAUUUAACAAGUUCCCUGCUACUUCAGAUAUCUAGGACAUGGAAAAUACCUCAGAUCUUUCUCAGUGCCAUUAUAAUUACACCUUUCAAUUUUUCACUAGAGAUCUUGAGUUGAAGUGUAUUGGGAAGCAUCCUCUACUCACUGGCAAAAAUAGAUCGUUUAUUGUGAAUCUGUCUGAGUUAAAAGACUAACAUUUCAAACCCCAUAAGUUUUUGAUGAGUGGCUAAGAUGAUUUUAGGAACCCCUUGGAAUGUUCCUUUCUGAUAUGCUUUGAAGAAUAACCAAAAAACAAUAUAUGAUAAAAUAUCAGGAACUUCACUACAUCCACUCAGCUUAAAUAAAUUAAUUUAUAUAAAAGCAAUUAAAACACAGAAAACAAUCCCAUGGCAUCAGUAGCUACCCUGAGUGAAGGGGAAAGGGGUUAUUUAAAACUUGUAGAACACUUUAAUCUACAGGAAUAAAGUGCAAAUCUGACUGGCAAUUUCACUACAGAAGCCAUUGAUGUCACAAAGACUCAACACCAAAGGUCUCCCAAGUCACACAGGAUCUGGUUUGCUUUCCCUGUCUUCAUCAGUAUAAAGAAAUGAAUAAAUGAAUUAAUACAUAGACUGCUUAAUUCACACAGAUUUAAGAGAGAACCUUUAAGCCUCCUUCAGGGAUCCAGAAAUUAAAUGGGGGGAAACUAAAACUGAAGAAAA